Long non-coding RNA from Oncorhynchus keta (chum salmon), 746 nucleotides. RefSeq lists it as uncharacterized. The record is from RefSeq and is a predicted model, not a curated record. NCBI's taxonomy places the organism in Eukaryota, Metazoa, Chordata, Actinopteri, Salmoniformes, Salmonidae. The transcript has 5 exons.
GGUUAGCCUCUGAUGUUCACUGUAAUGGGUACGGACGCUACCAAAGGUUAGCCUCUGAUGUUCACUGUAAUGGGUACGGACGCUACCAAAGGUUAGCCUCUGAUGUUCACUGUAAUGGGUAUGGACGCUACCAAAGGUUAGCCUCUGAUGUUCACUGUAAUGGGUAUGGACGCUACCAAAGGUUAGCCUCUGAUGUUCACUGUAAUGGGUACGGACGCUACCAAAGGUUAGCCUCUGAUGUUCAAUGUAAUGGGUACGGACGCUACCAAAGGUUAGCCUCUGAUGUUCACUAUAGGGGGUACGGACGCUACCAAAGGUUAGCCUCUGAUGUUCAAUGUAAUGGGUACGGACGCUACCAAAGGUUAGCCUCUGAUGUUCACUGUAAUGGGUACGGACGCUACCAAAGGUUAGCCUCUGAUGUUCACUAUAGGGGGUACGGACGCUACCAAAGGUUAGCCUCUGAUGUUCAAUGUAAUGGGUACGGACGCUACCAAAGGUUAGCCUCUGAUGUUCACUGUAAUGGGUACGGACGCUACCAAAGGUUAGCCUCUGAUGUUCACUGUAAUGGGUACGGACGCUACCAAAGGUUAGCCUCUGAUGUUCACUGUAAUGGGUACGGACGCUACCAAAGGUUAGCCUCUGAUGUUCACUGUAAUGGGUACGGACGCUACCAAAGGUUAGCCUCUGAUGUUCACUGUAAUGGGUACGGACGCUACCAAAGGUUAGCCUCUGAUGUUCACUGUAAU